GGCUGCUCCCAGGUGGCUGAGGGAUUAAGACGCAUUGCACAGUCAGUUACAGAUUGAACUCCUUGUUCUACUACUUCCCCCCCUCACUACUGCACUUGACUAGUCUUAA
RNAcentral lists this Y RNA (109 nucleotides) under Microcebus murinus (gray mouse lemur). RNAcentral's name for it is "Y RNA (ENSMICG00000025351.3)". It matches the Rfam family "Y RNA". Rfam says of the family: Y RNAs are components of the Ro ribonucleoprotein particle (Ro RNP), in association with Ro60 and La proteins. The Y RNAs and Ro60 and La proteins are well conserved, but the function of the Ro RNP is not known. The record is from Rfam by way of RNAcentral. Lineage: Eukaryota; Metazoa; Chordata; Mammalia; Primates; Cheirogaleidae.